RNAcentral lists this ribosomal RNA (837 nucleotides) under uncultured bacterium. RNAcentral's name for it is "bacterial SSU rRNA". It matches the Rfam family "Bacterial small subunit ribosomal RNA", at positions 51 to 899 of the family's 1533-position model. The record is from RNAcentral.
ACACAUGCAAGUCGAACGGAAUUUACAUGAAGCCUAGCGAUUGUAAAUUUAGUGGCGGACGGGUGAGUAACGCGUGGGUAACCUGCCUUGUACUGGGGGACAACAGUUGGAAACGACUGCUAAUACCGCAUAAGCGCACAGCUUCGCAUGAAGCAGUGUGAAAAACUCCGGUGGUACAAGAUGGACCCGCGUCUGAUUAGCUGGUUGGUGAGGUAACGGCCCACCAAGGCGACGAUCAGUAGCCGGCCUGAGAGGGUGAACGGCCACAUUGGGACUGAGACACGGCCCAAACUCCUACGGGAGGCAGCAGUGGGGAAUAUUGCACAAUGGGGGAAACCCUGAUGCAGCAACGCCGCGUGAGUGAAGAAGUAUUUCGGUAUGUAAAGCUCUAUCAGCAGGAAAGAAAAUGACGGUACCUGACUAAGAAGCCCCGGCUAACUACGUGCCAGCAGCCGCGGUAAUACGUAGGGGGCAAGCGUUAUCCGGAUUUACUGGGUGUAAAGGGAGCGUAGACGGUUUUGCAAGUCUGAAGUGAAAGCCCGGGGCUUAACCCCGGGACUGCUUUGGAAACUGUAGGACUAGAGUGCAGGAGAGGUAAGUGGAAUUCCUAGUGUAGCGGUGAAAUGCGUAGAUAUUAGGAGGAACACCAGUGGCGAAGGCGGCUUACUGGACUGUAACUGACGUUGAGGCUCGAAAGCGUGGGGAGCAAACAGGAUUAGAUACCCUGGUAGUCCACGCCGUAAACGAUGAUUACUAGGUGUUGGUGGGUAUGACCCAUCGGUGCCGCAGCAAACGCAAUAAGUAAUCCACCUGGGGAGUACGUUCGCAAGAAUGAAA